GAACUACUUAAAAAUAUACGUCGUUAACCGACGCAGUGGAAGCCCCGCCCACCUGCGUAACGUCCGCGUCCAGUUGAAUUCCAACUGCGCCAUUUUUCUUCACCUGAAAGAACUGCCGCCUUCAACGGUCAGGGAUGAGCACCCUCCUCUCCUCUUGUGGCUGUAUCAAGCACGCGCUCAAUUAGCAUCGCAUGGGAAGCACGUGCCAGCGUUUCCAGCCCGCCCCUCCCUGGCCGCCUCCUCCCCGCGUGCAUCCGCAACAGACACGCUCGCCUCCAGGAGCUCAGCGCUGCCCUUAACAGGUGGGCCGAGGCGAGGCGGGGCUGGGACGGAGGCAUCUGUCAACAAACUCUGCAUCCGUCCUCCUCCACUGUACUACCUCUCCAUCUGCCCAGAGAGGAGGCAGCCAGGGCGAGGAGGAAGGUCAAUAAUGUAAUGAUGUAACGAUGAAACUGGCCCGUGCUGUUUGUUUUAGGGCGUUUUUUGUUUGUUUUAUCUUCAUAAAUCACCAUGUCAGGCCUCUAACUGCCUUAUAGAUGGACAUGAAUGGAGUUAUGUAAGGUUUUAUACACUGUAUGUUGUUUCCUGAAAAGCACGCAGAGGCCCCUUGACCUUUGACCUCUGUAUUGUAGCACCAGUACAGGAGAGGUUUGGCAGUUGAGCUCACUGCUUGUCUCACUUAUUGGACUGUUGGCACUGAUGUAAACUUAAUUCAAACUGUUAAUUUAAGGUAUAUCUAUUUAAGGUAGUUGUUUUUAUUAAUAUAUAUUAUAAACAGGGUGUGUGUGAGUGUGUGUGUGUGUGUCAUAUGCAGCUGAAAGUAAAUUUGUCUGUUUGUCAAAUACAGAUAUUGGCAGGAUGUGUUUGAUUGGUUUGACCAAGUUCUGGGAUAAAGUUAGUGGAAAGUGUUUCACCUUAUUUGAGUGUGAAAGUUAAUUAGGAAGCUGAAGGAACUUGAUCCUCUAAAGAAUCAAGAUCGAGAUGAUAUCUUGAUUAAAAACUCUACAAAAUAAGUGAUUAAUAGAGAUCCACAUAUAGACAUUGGUUCCAAUCAAUCCUAGAUUAUGAUCGAUUUCCGUCCACCAUCCAAUUCAAGAAUUGACCCGAGCAACAAAGUCCAGUAACACUGUAAGUUAAGAUGACAUUUUAUAAUAACAUCAUAAUUAAUUGUAAUAUAUUGUGAGUUAAACAUUAGUUGAUAGUUAUUUCACUGUUAACAAACAAUUAAAUGCUUUUUAAACCAUGUAAAAAGUAUUUGUUUGUUAAGUGCAACUUGCAUCGAUAACACUUGUUAAUUGUCAAUUACCAAGAGGUAAAUAGUUAAUUAACACUGUGUAGUUCAUCUACAAACUUUAUUUCGAUGGCUCUUUACAAUUUCACCACAGCAUUUUUUAUUUUUUUUUUUUUAACAUUUCAGUAACUGUUUACUAAAGUUUAAUUAACUAUAAAUGUGCCAUUUAUUGAUGUUGGUAAUUACAAAGUGUUACAGAUGAAAUAUGUUUGCGGUCAUUGUUUAUGUAGUUAUAAACUUUAACUCUGCCUCCUCCUCGCUCUCCUAUAGCUUCCUCCACGAAGCGUCACUCACUCAGCUGUUUGCGUCAAAUGCUUUUAGUUGCCUGCCAGCUUAUGGAUGUAAAUUUGGCCAUUAAAUGCAUGUAAUCUGUUAUUACAACAUCUCCCUUUUGCUCUUAUAAGGAGAUUUAUGAUUUUUUUUUUUUUUUUUUGCUGCUAAUGGUCUGUUCUCAUAAGGGCAGGAGUGCUUUGUUGGCUGGAUGUCCACUGUCGACAUAAUCCAGGGUCGUAAGGUCCUGAAGCUAAAUGGAUGCUUUGGAAAAAAAAAAACGAAAGAAAGAAACAUUAACUAGGCAUUACCUUUAUGUAAAAUACUAAUUCUCUUGAUAGCAAUUCAUUAUUUUUUUUUUUUUUUCUACAUAUGCUGGAUUUUCUUUAAACCUGUAAUCAGCUUUCUGCUUUAUGUCCGUGUGUGUGUUUGUGUGUGUGUUUAUGUGCAGCAUAUGUGUGUGUUCAGGGUGCUGUGUUUCCUGAAAUGACAAUAUCUAAGUAUUAUUAAUAUUUUGGCUCACAUGUGUAACUCCGAGCCAUAUGGUGGAGACGCCCAGCUCAAAUCCCAGCACCACUCAAACGUCAUUUAGUUGAAAGUUUAUGUAGCUCUGUAAGAGGUUUGCACACAGUCGUAACAGGCUCAAGUCUUGGAAAUCAGUUAAUUCUACAUACAUUUUGUGAUGAGUUAUGAUUUGCUGAGAUAAAUGUAAAGAUUAUCACACAAAUCAGAUGCAUUUUUUUAUGAUUUUUAGAGCGGUACUGCGCCUCAUCAUGGAGCUUCUCUCAGCCUGAAGGGUUUAUUCCACUCAAAAAGAUGAUUUAAGAGAAAUCAAACAACGUUUAAUUGAAUUUAAAAGGACUUGAGAUAAUGUAAGGAUAUACGCAUCAUAGCCCCUGGCCUGCUCUCACUGACGAGCUAUAAAUGUGUGAUGGUUUCAUCCCGUGUAAAAAUGAUUUUGUGUUUGGCAGUGUCCCUCACAUGAAAAUUGAAAACAUGCAUGCAGCACAGAAAAUAGCAUUGACAGACGGCAACAGCAGAUAUUAUUACCGGAGAAGCUCUCAGGAGGUCCAGUUAGGAAGUGUUUUCAUUACAGUUUCCAUCAUAAACUGGAAACGAGCCAAACAAACCAUGUUAUAAACAUGUUAGACUCAACCCUGCUUUUAUUUACAGUCAUUAGGCGUGUGUUUGACCAGCCGUGUGUUACAUCAAAUAUAGUUGAGUUUAACAUUUUCAUACUCACGUCUGUGAAAACUUUGCCUUCAUUUGCGAUCAUUUGAUUGUGUCCUGAUUAAUCACCAUGGACAUGCAGUGGCCUCCUCAAAAAACCUUGACAUAAAGAAUAUACUAAAAAUCAGAAGGACAAUAAUCAGUAUUUAAGGCACACAUUAAAUAUCACACACAUAAUUUGAUAACUUUGUAUUUACUGAACUUCAGCGGAAGAACUUAAAGUACAAGUUAAAGCCACGUACACCUGAAUGCUUCACUUCUGGAUACUUCAUACAACUUCAGUACAUGUUACUCCACAUUUACAUUUACUGGUUAUGUUUAAGAUUAAAGUUUCACAAUUUUGAACAAAUGAUAUUCUUCCAGUGGGCUCUAAUGUUAGAGUACUGUCUGUGAUCCCUUGUCACAUCAGAUGUCUAUAAGUUGACAGAUAACAGUUCCCUCAAAGUGUCACUUCCCCUCUAAGAUUCUCAGAUUGUUUCAUUUAACCACCUGUUUAAAGGCCCGAAUCGGUAAAAUAAUGUAAUGUCUCACACAACAUUUCGUCUUCUGAGCCUUCAGAGAGGGCCAGACUGUUAAGUGGGAACUCACUGCACUAAACUGUAUUAAAUAGUAGUAAAGAUAGCUCCAUUAGAGUAUUUUUGACAUUGUUUUAUCGUGCUUGUACUUCAGUAAAGGAUCUAAACACUUCUUCCACCACUGCUGACCUUUUUCUGCUCACAGCCUUCAUCUUCGUCCCAAUGAUAUUGUUUGACUACUUAAAUGAAGUGGCUUUUUUUAGUGAAAGAAACUGAGAACCGAUUAUUAGCGUUACGCCGGCUCUUGCUCUGUCCUCUGUUAAAAUUUGACUCUGUAUGUAAAACCACUGAUCGGAAGCUGUAAACGAAAAGCCUCUAAACACGAGUUCAGCGGCGCCGACUUUAAAGUUACCCCCCCCCCCCCCGGUCGAGUGUUUGGAGCAAUUAAAAGAACAUUUUGCGACGCUUUAAGUCCCAUUAAAACAUCACAUGGUAACAUUUAGCAUGCGCAUCUGAUAGAAUUGAGUCUAAUCUCAUCAAAUUGUGUAAUCCACGAGAUGAAAUCACUCUAAACAUUACACGGCUUAACACAGAUAGAGAGGGUCAGGAAGAGUUAAGGCUGCGUACUUGUUUUUUUUUUUUUUUAACCAUUUACCAUAUUCCUCAACCGCCAGUCUGACGGGAGUACAGGAACACUAUUGUUUCAUUCAUUCAAAUGAGAUUCCAUGACUGUUGUUGUUGCAGAUGAAUUAUGUAUGUGUUGAUAUGUGAUAGACAUCGUCUCUCGGGGAAUGUAGGACACAUGCUCAUGCAUAACAAUAGCCUUCAGUUGUAUUCUCACCAACAAAUUGGCCGUUUAUCUCCCGUGUUCUUGUCUUCAUAAAAGCAACUAUAUUCAGUUCGUCUCCUGCUUGUUUUAACGCAACACGCUGUCGAGAGAGAUCAGGUCCAGGUGGCGGUUGCUAUAUUCAAAUAAGCCGGACUGUUGCCCCGAUGCCCCAGAACUUUCACUAAUUCUUCUUGAAAACAAAACAAAGUCAGAUGUCUUGUCAGUGACAUUGUACAGCUGGUAAUAGCAUUAGCCUAUUUAAAUAAUCUCUGAUAGGCUUGUUUGAAUCAUGAAUUGCUCUUCGGGAACAUUUCUCGAUGUUUCGUGCCUCUCGUCUCUCUCCCUCUCCAGUCUCCAGACAAUAAUCGACAUAUUUGGGCUCAUUGUGUUGGUUUGACUCAAGCAACAGUCACUGUCCAUAAGCUGACUACAAAAAAAAAAAAAAAGAGAGAGAGCGCUGCAGGAUGAAGGAUGAUACUCAGGCAAUCUGCAGCAUAUUCACAUUUAAAUUAGCCGGUACUGAUGUGGAGACAGUUGGAUUUACGUGCUCAGAGAUUUCUGUUGUUUUUAAAUAAUAUCGGCGGUAAAGAGAUGAAGACUGUUAGUCUGUAAAGCUCGAGGUUUCAUCAGAGCAGUACGCAGAAAUAAAAUCAAGCUGGUUGUGAGAUGCAGUAUGUAGUUUUGAGGAAGAAACUAAAACUAAGCAUAAAAAAAUGAUUAUGAUUGAUUACUGACUUGUGGAAAAGGACUUGGAUUAAAUAACUGUACACUUCCUCACACUCAUGUCAGUGCGUGUUAAUGGAAUAUUUGUAACAAGCUUUUCAUUUUAUUGUGCUUAUUUGUCGAACUAAUCGAACUUUUGUUUCAUUCAUUCGUUCAUUCAAACAAACUGUCUUAGUUUUCACGACUGAAUAAACGGAAUAAACAAACUGACCUCAGUUUCAUUUCACUUUGUUUACGUGUGGCGGACCCCGCCACCUUUUCUAGCAUCACACAGCAUUCUGGGGACCUUAUUUUCCUCUGAGAACGGUUUGUUUAUUCAGUUAUGAACAAAAUAAGUUUGUGUUAUUGCCUCAUUUAUCUCCUAAAUAUUGAUAUUCUGAGUUUGGAUUUCUUCUCUAUAAAAACACAGAGCCCCUUUAUACAUGAAUACUUCAAAACAGGCACAUAAAUAAACUUGUAAUGUUCCUCAAAUCCAGCUUCAUGUUCAUCUUAUUAUUGAUUCACAUAUAAAGCAACUGUGAAUCAACAUUCCUCAUCUACAGAUUUAUUAUAAGUCAACAACUUGAUCAAUCAUCUGAAUUAAUAGAUGCUUUAAGUUAGUUAAUCCUUCCUUAAGUAUAUGAUAAUUACUCCACAUUUAAAGUGUUAUCAAGCUCAUAUUGUCUGUAUCUGUAAUGAUAGAAUGUCUUAUUAUCAUUAUCAAUAUUAUCACUGUCAUUAUGAAUGUAAAUGUAGUAAUAAAGAGAUAAUAAUCUGUA
Molecule: long non-coding RNA, 5616 nt
Organism: Acanthopagrus latus (yellowfin seabream)
Lineage: Eukaryota; Metazoa; Chordata; Actinopteri; Spariformes; Sparidae
Exons: 3
Source: RefSeq, a predicted model, not a curated record